ACGGAGGGUGCAAGCGUUAUCCGGAAUCAUUGGGUUUAAAGGGUCCGCAGGCGGACGUAUAAGUCAGUGGUGAAAGCCCAUCGCUUAACGAUGGAACUGCCAUUGAUACUGUACGUCUUGAAUUCGGUCGAAGUGGGCGGAAUGUGACAUGUAGCGGUGAAAUGCUUAGAUAUGUCACAGAACACCGAUAGCGAAGGCAGCUCACUAGGCCUGGAUUGACGCUCAUGGACGAAAGCGUGGGGAGCAAACAGGAUUAGAUACCCUGGUAGUCCACGCCGUAAACUAUCAAUACUCGUUUUCAGCGAUAUACAGUUGGAGACUAAGCGAAAGUGAUAAGUAUUGCACCUGGGGAGUACGAUCGCAAGGUUG
RNAcentral lists this ribosomal RNA (369 nucleotides) under uncultured bacterium. Its description in RNAcentral is "bacterial SSU rRNA". It matches the Rfam family "Bacterial small subunit ribosomal RNA", at positions 525 to 896 of the family's 1533-position model. The record is from RNAcentral.